This is a long non-coding RNA of Equus caballus (horse), 471 nucleotides long. The record is from Ensembl. Lineage: Eukaryota; Metazoa; Chordata; Mammalia; Perissodactyla; Equidae.
AAGCUGGAAUGUCCUGGCAUGAGCUGGGAGCUACGAAGAUGGACUGAAACUUGGGUCACUAUGACAAAAACCAUGGGCCUAAAGCCGUCAGACACAGCUACCAGAGAGGAGGCUGGGCUCCUUUCUGGGAGGAGAAAAUGGAAGUCUCUCUCCUGGCCAUCCUGAACCUCUGUCAUCACUCUAUCACAGCCCGUGAUUAGCCUGGUUCUCCCAGCCUCCGGGAUCAUGGAGCCGCUGUUCCUCCUUUCUAGAUGGCCUGUCUUUGUUUCCGAUUUGAACCUCAUUCUGGUCCUCCACCUGCACUUCCUCACAGCUUCUCCAGAUUCCUUUACAUUGCAUUUUGGCUCUCAGCUAGGUUUGCAACUCCUCCCAAUUUAGAAACAUCUGAAAAUUUAAUUAGCAGGCGGUUGUCUCCCUCUUCCACAUAAUUAAUGAAGAUGUUAAAAUAAAACUGGAUUAAGAAUUUAUUAC